RNAcentral lists this microRNA precursor (109 nucleotides) under Microtus ochrogaster (prairie vole). Its description in RNAcentral is "miRNA (ENSMOCG00000009960.1)". The record is from RNAcentral. Lineage: Eukaryota; Metazoa; Chordata; Mammalia; Rodentia; Cricetidae.
GCCACAGCAGGUGCUUACAUUGCCUCCCAGGCGGUGAAGAAAGUGAUAGAGAUCAACCCCUACCGUCUGGACACUAUGGGUGGGGGUGCAGCCGACUGCAGCUUCUGGG